This 497-nucleotide ribosomal RNA is filed under the name uncultured bacterium. RNAcentral's name for it is "partial 16S ribosomal RNA". It matches the Rfam family "Bacterial small subunit ribosomal RNA", at positions 28 to 507 of the family's 1533-position model. The record is from RNAcentral.
GAUGAACGCUGGCGGCGUGCCUAAUACAUGCAAGUCGAGCGAACAGACGAGGAGCUUGCUCCUCUGACGUUAGCGGCGGACGUGUGUGUAACGCGUGUAUAACCUACCUAUAAGACUGGUAUAACUUCGGGAAACCGGAGCUUAUACCGUAUAAUAUAUUGAACCGCAUGGUUCAAUAGUGAAAUACGGUUUUUCUGGCACUUAUAGCUGGAUCCGCGCCGAAUUAGGUAGUUGGGAAGGUAAAGGCUUACCAAGGCAACGAUGCGUAGCCGAAGGGAGAGAGUGGUAGGCCACAUGGGAAGGUGACCGGGGACAAGACUCCUACGGGAGGCAGCAGAAGCGAACCGGCGGCAGUGGGCGAAAGCCUGACGGAGCAACGCCGAGUCAGAUACGAAGGUCUUCGGAUCGUAAUAAUCUGUUACUAGGGAAGAACCAAUGUCUACGGAAAUAUGCACGUAUUGACGGUAACUAAUCAGAAAGCCACGGCUAACUACGUG